This is an RNA transcript of Uranotaenia lowii, 2171 nucleotides long. It is a transcript of the gene named crossover junction endonuclease MUS81, with no coding region annotated. The record is from RefSeq and is a predicted model, not a curated record. NCBI's taxonomy places the organism in Eukaryota, Metazoa, Arthropoda, Insecta, Diptera, Culicidae. The transcript has 6 exons.
UAAUUCCAUUUAAUUCCAUGAAAAUAAGUUAUUAUGCAACAUAAAAAAUAGUUGUAAGUAGUGUUUUAGUGCUGAUUUAAAAUGCCGAAGCAGAAGACUUACAAAAUUCAAAUCAAUCGUAAUCCGUCGAGCGGAAAAUCGCCGGCUAAAGAACAUCCUCAGCAACAUCGCAUCAGUAUCCGGUACAAAUGCGCCAAUCCGCUGUUCGAGCGUUGGUUGCAGGAAAUGUUGGCCAAGGCGGAGAGCCGAGAAUCGAUGAGUCGACUACCGCUUCAGAAAGCGCUAGCCUCGCUCCGCCGCUAUCCACUUCCGAUUGCUUCCGGACGGGAUUGUUUCAUGCUGGCCGACUUCGGCAAGACCAUCUGUGAAACGUUGGAAAAACGGUUGCGAGCCUACCGGGAGAAUGGUGGCUCAGUACGGUUGGAUUGGGACGAGGACAUUGAGCGGGCUUUGAACGAGGAAGGGUGUGAGGUUAGGCGCAAGCUGGUUCCGGAAACGGAAGUUGUGGAAGAAUUUAUCGUACCGGAAAAUAAUAACGCCGAUUUCGAAAUGCCUGAUGAUUCCGUCUUCGAUCAGUUAGAUUCGGCCACAUUGAUGGAAAAUACCAGCAGAUGUUUUACCAUAGCCAACCCCAAAGUUAUCUUGUUGGUGGACACACAGGAAGCAAUAGGAAAAUCCAAAUCCAGUCUAGAUCGAACGCUCAAGGAGCUAGAUCAGUACCGGAUAGCCUACGAAGUGCGAAGGCUCAGCGUUGGCGAUUUCCUGUGGAUUGUGCGGGACGACAAUGGGCGGGAAUUUAUCUUACCCUAUGUAGUCGAACGAAAACGGAUGGACGAUUUGGCUAGUAGUAUUAAAGACGGAAGGUUUCACGAGCAGAAGUUUCGUCUUAAGCAAUGCGGCCUUGCCAAUGUAAUUUAUUUGAUAGAGCAUCUGGGGAAUAACAGGCAGGUUGGCGUUCCGGCUAGCACUCUGAGCCAGGCCGUUCUGAACACGCUGGUUCAGGAUUUUGCCAUAAAAUACACCGAAAAUCAUCACCAUACGGUUCUUUAUUUGUCGACCAUGAGCAAAUUGUUGAACAAAAAUAUUAAGGACAAAUCCUUUUGGAACAUCACAGACUUACCGAUGGACUCCAUCAAUGCCACCGCCAAAGAUUUCAAUUUAAAGCAGAAAACAAUGCCACUGUUAGCCUUUGAAACAUUCAAUCGACAGUCAUCUAAAACGCGGGACUGUUCGGUAAAAGAAAUUUUCAUGAAGCAAUUGCUUCAGAUCAAACUACUGUCCAUCGACAAAGUGAAUGCUAUUGUUGAGCGCUACCCAACACCCCGACGCCUUUAUGUUGCCUAUGAGAAGCUCACAAGUGAGGAAGAAAGGGAAAAAUUGCUCAAUAUACCCUGUGGACCUGCCAGGAAGACUGUCGGUUUGAAACUAAGCAAGAUCAUCUACCAGUUGUUCAGAAACGAUAUUUAUCAACGCUGAGAAGACUAUGGAACGAACAGCAUCCAACGUGUAUAUAGCAGCAGGACCAGGAGAAUUCUGACAAGAAAACUGGCCUGUGACGAUACCGUAAAAGCGCUUGAAGGAAGCCAUUUUCCGAAAUCGGGUUUCCCAAUGAUGCACAUUAGUUUUCAAUCUGAGGCCGCUUCGUUCGUUUCUCGGCCAUUCGGCUGCUUCUUUAAUUUUGCCUGAGAGGCCGAUGAGACGGACGGAGUUUUUCGAGAACUGCAACAUGAUGAGCCAGAAACGAUUCGAGUCACCACCACCGGAGGACUUUCUUCUUUUUAUUUGAAUUGAAAAUCCCCAAAAACGAAUGAUUCGCGUUUCGCUGAUUGCUGUCCAUUGUGAUUCUGUCUGUGUGUAAUAUUCAGCAGAGCACAAAGUUUUACGGGGGUCACGCGUCAGCACGCUUCUUAUCCGAGAUUGACCGACUCUUCCUUUCCGGCUCCUAGAGGGUCAUUUUUCGAAGCGAAGUUGUCUCACUGCAAUCCGUCGAGUGAGAAAAGGAGAGAAGGAAUGAAAAAAUAACACAAUUUUUUACUUUUUUUACGCGCCUUUAUGUAAGUUAUAUUUGCUAGAGGACCGUUAGCAGCAAUAUUCGGAGGCAGUUCUUUUUUGCAAGUGAUACUGUGCCAUGUGAUAAACUUAUCAAUCAGGUUUUAUGAUUAUAUAUGAUU